GGAUGUGGCUCAAGUGGUAACGUGCUCGCCUGGCAUGUGAGAGGCACUGGGUUCGAUCCUCAGCACCA
This 68-nucleotide transfer RNA is filed under the name Marmota monax (woodchuck). RNAcentral describes it as "tRNA.Ala". Lineage: Eukaryota; Metazoa; Chordata; Mammalia; Rodentia; Sciuridae. The record is from RNAcentral.